CAAAGAAAAGUCAACAAAGGCUCUAACAUCAACAUGACCUUGGAUAAGGUGUACAUUUCAUCAGGACAGAUGACUCGAAUGGCCACCACCACCGAGGCCUUGCACACACCUUUGCAGUGAACGGCGAUGGCCCCUUCGGUGUUCUCACAGAUGUUCAGGAACCUUCGCACGAUGUUGUCACUGGGUGUGCUGCCAUCUAUGAAGAAGAGGUCAUAGUGCUCGAAGCCAGCGUCUGUGAAGCGCUUUGCCUCAUAAAUCUUUUUGUUUAGCCUCACAACUGCAGUCACAUUAUGCUUUUUGAAAUAAGGAAAGUAGGCUUCAGGGGCGUGAAGAGGAUAACCUAAAGGAACAAAGGAGCAGUAAGCAAAAGGCAUGCAUUUCAUCUUCCACAACCCAGAAAUACAAAACUCUCAACAAUGAAGUGUAUAAAUCUCAACAAAGCUUGGGAGGAAAGUGUGUUGUGUGAGAGAAGAGGUCACAGCAAGCUCCUACAAGCAUCAAUCUGCAUAACUGUAAGCACCACAGGAGGUUAAAAAGAAAACUUCUGUAAGUACUGAAAAUACAUCAUUAAAGUUCAAAAUCUCAACCUCUA
Homo sapiens (human) is the source of this 592-nucleotide long non-coding RNA. Lineage: Eukaryota; Metazoa; Chordata; Mammalia; Primates; Hominidae. The record is from Ensembl.